This 1928-nucleotide ribosomal RNA is filed under the name human gut metagenome. RNAcentral's name for it is "bacterial LSU rRNA". It matches the Rfam family "Bacterial large subunit ribosomal RNA", at positions 512 to 2449 of the family's 2925-position model. The record is from RNAcentral.
AGGUGAAAAGCACUUCGAACAGAAGAGUGAAAUAGUCCCUGAACCCAUACGCCUACAAGCAGUCGGAGCCGCUUCGUGCGGUGACGGCGUGCCUUUUGCAUAAUGAGCCUACGAGUUACUCAUCACCAGCGAGGUUAAGUACUUCAGGUACGUAAGCCGAAGCGAAAGCGAGUCUGAAUAGGGCGUCAAGUUGGUGGUGGUAGACGCGAAACCUUAGUGAUCUACCCAUGGGCAGGGUGAAGGUUUGGUAACACAAACUGGAGGCCCGAACCGGUAAACGUUGAAAAGUUUUCGGAUGACCUGUGGGUAGGGGUGAAAGGCCAAUCAAACUGGGAAAUAGCUCGUACUCUCCGAAAUGCAUUUAGGUGCAGCCUCUGUUGUUUUGUUCUAGAGGUAGAGCUACUGAUUGGAUGCGAGGGCUUCACCGCCUAUCAAAUCCGGCCAAACUCCGAAUGCUAGAACAUGAAGACAGGGAGUGAGCCAGCGGGUGCUAAGGUCCGUUGACGAAAGAGGGAGAACUCAGACCAUCAGCUAAGGUCCCCAAUUGUAUGCUAAGUUGGAAUUAAAACGGGGUGGGACUGCUUAGACAGCUAGGAUGUUGGCUUGGAAGCAGCCAUUCAUUUAAAGAGUGCGUAACAGCUCACUAGUCGAGCGGUCCUGCAUGGAUAAUACGCGGGCAUAAGCAUAUAACCGAAGCUAUGGGAUUGUAGAUGAUACAAUCGGUAGGAGAGCAUUCCAUUCAGCGUAGAAGCAGUAUCGUGAGGUAUUGUGGAGCGGAUGGAAAAGCAAAUGUAGGCAUAAGUAACGAUAAUGCGGGUGAGAACCCCGCACGCCGAAAGAUCAAGGAUUCCCCGGCAAUGUCAAUCAUCCGGGGGUAAGUCGGAUCCUAAGGGUAAGCCGAGUGGCGAUCCCGAUGGCAAACAGGUUAAUAUUCCUGUACUGAUCAUAACUGCGAUGCAGCGACGCAGAGGUGACACUGCUGCGUACUGACGGAAUAGUACGUUGAAACCCGUAUUCUUUGAUACCGGUAGUGAAGCACGCCGGUAGAGAUGAAAGGUGAUAGUACCGCAAUGCUUCGGUUGCGCGGAUAAUGCAGGUAAGCUGACUGCCAAGAAAACCUGCUAAGCUUCAGGUAAUGAUCAUCCGUACUGUAAACGGACACACGUGAUCAGGAGAAAAUACUAAGGCGCUCGAGAGAUUCAUGGUUAAGGAACUAGGCAAAAUGGUCCUGUAACUUCGGGAUAAAGGACGCUCUUGUGAAAGAGCCGCAGAUAAUAGGCCCAGGCGACUGUUUACCAAAAACACAUGGCUAUGCUAAUUCGCAAGAAGAUGUAUAUGGCCUGACACCUGCCCGGUGCCGGAAGGUUAAGAGGAGAGCUCAGAGGUAACUCGAAGGUUUGAAUUGAAGCCCCGGUAAACGGCGGCCGUAACUAUAACGGUCCUAAGGUAGCGAAAUUCCUUGUCGGGUAAGUUCCGACCUGCACGAAUGGUGUAACGAUCUGGGUACUGUCUCAACCAUGAGCUCGGUGAAAUUGUAGUUCCGGUGAAGAUGCCGGAUACCCGCAACGGGACGGAAAGACCCCGUGAACCUUUACUGCAGCUUUGCAUUGAUUUUGGGUAACAGAUGUGUAGGAUAGGUCGGAGGCUUUGAUGCAUGGUCGUCAGGCGUAGAGUAGCCGUCGUUGAAAUACGACCCUUUUGUUAUCUGAGGUCUAAUCCCGUUAGGGAGACAUUGCAUGGUGGGUAGUUUGACUGGGGUGGUCGCCUCCAAAAGUGUAACGGAGGCUUCUCAAGGUACCCUCAAGGCGUUUGGUAAUCGUCUGCAGAGUGCAAUGGCAUAAGGGUGCUUGACUGUGAGACCGACACGUCGAUCAGGUUGGAAACAAGAGCAUAGUGAUCCGGUGGUUCCGCAUGGAAGGGCCAUCGCU